RNAcentral lists this ribosomal RNA (220 nucleotides) under uncultured bacterium. RNAcentral's name for it is "partial 16S ribosomal RNA". It matches the Rfam family "Bacterial small subunit ribosomal RNA", at positions 524 to 741 of the family's 1533-position model. The record is from RNAcentral.
UACGAAGGGGGCUAGCGUUGUUCGGAUUUACUGGGCGUAAAGCGCACGUAGGCGGAUCUUUAAGUCGGGGGUGAAAUCCUGGAGCUCAACUCCAGAACUGCCUUCGAUACUGGGAGUCUUGAGUUUCGGGAGAGGUGAGUGGAACUGGCGAGUGUAGAGGUGAAAUUCGUAGAUAUUCGCAAGAACACCAGUGGCGAAGGCGGCUCACUGGCCCGAUACU